This 68-nucleotide transfer RNA is filed under the name Pteropus alecto (black flying fox). It matches the Rfam family "tRNA". From Rfam's summary of the family: Transfer RNA (tRNA) molecules are approximately 80 nucleotides in length. Their secondary structure includes four short double-helical elements and three loops (D, anti-codon, and T loops). The record is from Rfam by way of RNAcentral. Lineage: Eukaryota; Metazoa; Chordata; Mammalia; Chiroptera; Pteropodidae.
GGCUCCAUAGUGUAGUGGUUAGCAUAUCUGCUUUACAAGGUCCUGGGUUCAAACCCCAGGUGGAGCCA